GAGAGUACAUCAGCGGCAGACGGGUGAGUAACACGGUAGAUAACCUACCCUCAAGACGGGGAUAACCGGUGGAAAUAGCGGCUAAUACCCGAUAGGCUCACGUGAUCGGGAGGUCGAGUGAGGAAAGGCUGCGGUGCUUGAGGAGGGGUCUGCGCGCCAUCAGCUAGUUGGUGAGGUAACGGCUCACCACGGCGAAGACGGGUAGGGGGUGUGAGAGCUACGACCCCCCACAAUGGGACUGCGACAUGGCCCAUACUCCUACGGGAGGCAGCAGCAGGGAAUAUUGCGCAAUGGACGGAAGUCAGACGCAGCGACGCCGCGUGGGUGAGGAAGGCCUUCGGGUUGUAAAGCCCUUUUCUGGAGGGCGAGGCAGGACGGUACUCCAGGAAUAAGCGUCUGCUAACUACGUGCCAGCAGCCGCGGUAAGACGUAGGACGCAAGCGUUAUCCGGAUUUACUGGGCGUAAAUCGCCUGUAGGCGGCGGGAUAAGUCGGAUGUGAAAGCCCCGUGCUCAACGCGGGGGAAGCCAUUCGAUACUGUCUGGCUAGAGAGCGGGAGAGGGAAACGGAAUUUCUGGUGUAGCGGUAAAAUGCGCAGAGAUCAGAAGGAACACCGAUGGCGAAGGCAGUUUCCUAGGCCGUAUCU
This 645-nucleotide ribosomal RNA is filed under the name uncultured organism. RNAcentral's name for it is "bacterial SSU rRNA". It matches the Rfam family "Bacterial small subunit ribosomal RNA", at positions 83 to 741 of the family's 1533-position model. The record is from RNAcentral.